GUGUCAGCCGCCGCGGUAACACGUAGGCACCAAGCGUUGUCCGGAUUUAUUGGGCGUAAAGAGCUCGUAGGCGGUUCAGUAAGUCGGGUGUGAAAACUCUGGGCUUAACCCAGAGCCGCCAUCCGAUACUGCUGAACUUGAGUACGGUAGGGGAGUGGGGAAUUCCUGGUGUAGCGGUGAAAUGCGCAGAUAUCAGGAGGAACACCGGUGGCGAAGGCGCCACUCUGGGCCGAAACUGACGCUGAGGAGCGAAAGCGUGGGUAGCAAACAGGAUUAGAUACCCUGGUAGUCCACGCCGUAAACGUUGGGCACUAGGUGUGGGCUCCAACCAACGGAGUCCGUGCCGUCGCUAACGCAUUAAGUGCCCCGCCUGGGGAGUACGGCCGCAAGGCUAAA
Molecule: ribosomal RNA, 396 nt
Filed under: uncultured bacterium
Lineage: Bacteria
Description: bacterial SSU rRNA
Rfam family: Bacterial small subunit ribosomal RNA
Source: RNAcentral